AGAGCCGCCGCCGCCGCCGUCGCCCGGUGCGGAUGCAGCGGAGGAGACCGAGAAGAGCCCGCCGCCGUGUCCGAACACGGUCACGGUGCGCCGCAACCCUCACCGCCGAGCGAGGCCGACCCCGUCGGCCACCGCCGCUCGUAAAUCGCCUGGCUCGCGACCCCCGAAACCGAAACUACCGGACAUCUCUUCGUUUCGACUGGAGGAGAUCCUCUCUAGCGAC
This 223-nucleotide long non-coding RNA is filed under the name Eucalyptus grandis. RNAcentral's name for it is "long non-coding RNA (EGRA_LNC007608)". The record is from RNAcentral. Lineage: Eukaryota; Viridiplantae; Streptophyta; Magnoliopsida; Myrtales; Myrtaceae.